CAGGCCUAACACAUGCAAGUCAUCAUGCCCCUUAUGCCCUGGGCUACACACGUGUUACAAUGGCUGGGACAAUGCGAAGCAAUACCGCGAGGUGGAGCGAACCGCCAAACCCGGCCUCAGUUCAGACCGUAGGCUGCAACUCGCCUGCGUGAAGUCGGAAUCGCUAGUAACCGCCAAUCAGCACGUGGCGGUGAAUCCGUUCCCGGGCCUUGUAA
This 215-nucleotide ribosomal RNA is filed under the name uncultured bacterium. Its description in RNAcentral is "partial 16S ribosomal RNA". It matches the Rfam family "Bacterial small subunit ribosomal RNA", at positions 1170 to 1385 of the family's 1533-position model. The record is from RNAcentral.